Molecule: long non-coding RNA, 720 nt
Filed under: Homo sapiens (human)
Lineage: Eukaryota; Metazoa; Chordata; Mammalia; Primates; Hominidae
Description: uncharacterized LOC105372069 (LOC105372069)
Source: RNAcentral
AUGUAGGUAAAUGAUAACUUAAAAUGUGGCAAAUGUAACAGGAGCUUCUGCUUCCACCCAAGAUGAAUAAAUUGGGACAAGAAUUGUCCUCAUGCUAUAAACAACUAGAAAAAUGAAAAAAAAAUGUAUGAAACAACAGUUCCAGAUGUUGGAGAAAGGACAGAGGAGGAUAUGCUGCCAGAGAAAAGUCUCCACAGUAAACCUGCUGGAAUGAAUACUAUUAUUUACUCCUCAUUUUGCAGAGAAGAAACUGGAAUUUUAGCGAGAAAAAGAAGAAAUCUGUAAAGGGAGAAAAAAUGUAAAUGGUAUUUUUUGGUGACAGAAUGCGUUUCUUCAGCUUUGUGGCAAACUGCCCCUACCACCACCCCUCCAGCAAAAAAAAAUUGUUGGUGAAGAACGCAAUCACAAAUAGCUUUAUAAAGAGAUGAAAAUAUUGCCUCACUUCUAAGUGAGGCUGGAUUUUCAGAAUUUUUUUUUUUGCAACUUUCAUAUGAUGUCCGGUCUGGCAACACAUGUGGCAAAAAUGAAGGCUACAUUUUUCCCUAGAUAGAAGAGCACAUCCAAUGUUUCCAACAUGAUAGUUCAGAAGAUUCAACAACUGUGAAAAGUGCUAAUCUCAGACCAUUUUAAGAGAUUAUAGAGAAAAAAAUGAAAAAUCUGGAAUAAAAAUAAACAGCUAUGAAACUCCAAAAAAAAAAAAAAAAAAAAAAAAAAAAAAAA